Molecule: ribosomal RNA, 262 nt
Filed under: uncultured bacterium
Lineage: Bacteria
Description: partial 16S ribosomal RNA
Rfam family: Bacterial small subunit ribosomal RNA
Source: RNAcentral
UACGGAGGGGCUAGCGUUGUUCGGAAUUACUGGGCGUAAAGCGCACGUAGGCGGCUUUGCAAGUUAGAGGUGAAAGCCCGGGGCUCAACUCCGGAAUUGCCUUUAAACUGCAUCGCUAGAAUUGUGGAGAGGUAAGUGGAAUUCCGAGUGUAGAGGUGAAAUUCGUAGAUAUUCGGAAGAACACCAGUGGCGAAGGCGACUUACUGGACACAUAUUGACGCUGAGGUGCGAAGCGUGGGAGCAACAGGAUUAGAUACCGUGU